This 85-nucleotide transfer RNA is filed under the name Bacteriophage sp. RNAcentral describes it as "tRNA-Ser". It matches the Rfam family "tRNA". From Rfam's summary of the family: Transfer RNA (tRNA) molecules are approximately 80 nucleotides in length. The record is from RNAcentral.
GGAGAGUUACUCAAGUGGUGACGAGGUUUGGUUGCUAACCAGAUAGGCCGGUAACGGCGCGGGGGUUCGAUCCCCUCACUCUCCG